GGGAGCUCAAGUAGCUUGUAAGGGGAGACUGUCCUUCUCUGAAAGUUGCUUGAAAGAAUCACUCAGACAUACUCUGUCCUCAAAGCAUCACUUCCCUGCUUGUUUCUUGGCUCAGCAAUAAAAGCUGAUAAAGGCAAUCCUUUCAGUUUUAACGUUCAUCCAAUUCAUUAAUUUGGUGGCUCGAGUAAGGGGUUAAGAAUCUGCUUUGCAGCAACUUGGAUUGGGCUACAGAGGGAUGACAAAAAAAUCUAGUUCUAUAAACUUAAAAUGUGAUGUUGGACUACUGAACUGAAGCAUGCUCAGCUCCCCAGUGGAUGCUUAUCUUCACAGAAUACCAAAAGCACGCCCACAUGCUGAUCUUCAUCCCAAUGAAUUCAUUUGGAUAAAUCAGGGUAAGUAUUUGAAAUGAACAUUGCCUUUGAAAACCGUCAAAACAUUUUUCAAGCAGUCUUUUCCACCAACAGGAUGAACUAAGCUGGCGCUGCAGCUACCUUGUAAAAGCUAAAGUGACAUAUUAUUCUACAACAAGAUCCUGCUUUGAUUAUUUUUCCUCCUAUAAUUGAUGGCAACUCCUCCUCAUCCUCAAAGGAGGUAGACUGAAAUAAGAAACAGAAGUGAAGAGGAUGUGUUACAGGAACAGGACAGCACUCUUUGUUGCCAUCGAUGUUAACUCAGUUUAAUGGUAAAGGUACCUCACUGGGGUGAACUUGCAGUUUGGACCUAAAAAGGACAGUAUUUUUUCAUUCCACUGCACAGUGUCAUUGAAACAUGUACAGAAACCACAUUAAUUCCAAAUCUGAAAGUCAAUGGCAGCUCAAAAGGCCACGAUGGGCAGCAGCUGAUCUGUGGGAGAUGACUGCAGAACUACUUCAGUAGAGUGAUGAAUAAGUGUUAACUGAUAAUGUUUCCUGUCCCAAUGAAUGGGAGAAACAAUGAAUUAGGAUAUUUAGUUCUGUAAGGAAAUGCCAGUUGUGCAAGAAAGAAACAAGAUCAACGUUUCCAUGGCAAGUAGCAACACAGCAAAUAUCACCCGAAUAACUAAAAGUGAACUGCUACAUUUUAUCCACUGGCAGAAUGCAGGUUGUUUAUCCAGUUCCAAAGAUAU
This 1105-nucleotide long non-coding RNA is filed under the name Corvus moneduloides (New Caledonian crow). RNAcentral describes it as "lncRNA (ENSCMUG00000019471.1)". The record is from RNAcentral. Lineage: Eukaryota; Metazoa; Chordata; Aves; Passeriformes; Corvidae.